GAUGAACGCUAGCUACAGGCUUAACACAUGCAAGUCGAGGGGAAACGACAUCGAAAGCUUGCUUCCGAUAGGCGUCGACCGGCGCACGGGUGAGUAACGCGUAUCCAACCUGCCCACCACUUGGGGAUAACCUUGCGAAAGUAAGACUAAUACCCAAUGAUAUCUCUAGACGGCAUCUGAAAGGGAUUAAAGAUUUAUCGGUGAUGGAUGGGGAUGCGUCUGAUUAGCUUGUUGGCGGGGUAACGGCCCACCAAGGCAACGAUCAGUAGGGGUUCUGAGAGGAAGGUCCCCCACAUUGGAACUGAGACACGGUCCAAACUCCUACGGGAGGCAGCAGUGAGGAAUAUUGGUCAAUGGGCGAGAGCCUGAACCAGCCAAGUAGCGUGCAGGACGACGGCCCUAUGGGUUGUAAACUGCUUUUAUAAGGGAAUAAAGUGAGUCUCGUGAGACUUUUUGCAUGUACCUUAUGAAUAAGGACCGGCUAAUUCCGUG
RNAcentral lists this ribosomal RNA (492 nucleotides) under uncultured bacterium. RNAcentral describes it as "bacterial SSU rRNA". It matches the Rfam family "Bacterial small subunit ribosomal RNA", at positions 28 to 507 of the family's 1533-position model. The record is from RNAcentral.